GAAUCGCUAGUAAUCGCGGAUCAGCAUGCCGCGGUGAAUACGUUCCCAGGCCUUGUACACACCGCCCGUCACACCAUGGGAGUUGGAUUCACCCGAAGGUAGUGCGCUAACCGCAAGGAGGCAGCUAACCACGGUGGGUUCAGCGACUGGGGUGAAGUCGUAACAAGGUAGCCGUAGGGGAACCUGCGGCUGGAUCACCUCCUUU
This 205-nucleotide ribosomal RNA is filed under the name Sphingobacteriales bacterium. RNAcentral describes it as "partial 16S ribosomal RNA". It matches the Rfam family "Bacterial small subunit ribosomal RNA", at positions 1329 to 1533 of the family's 1533-position model. Lineage: Bacteria; Pseudomonadati; Bacteroidota; Sphingobacteriia; Sphingobacteriales. The record is from RNAcentral.